This 60-nucleotide transfer RNA is filed under the name Hymenolepis diminuta. It matches the Rfam family "tRNA", at positions 7 to 64 of the family's 71-position model. Rfam says of the family: Transfer RNA (tRNA) molecules are approximately 80 nucleotides in length. Lineage: Eukaryota; Metazoa; Platyhelminthes; Cestoda; Cyclophyllidea; Hymenolepididae. The record is from Rfam by way of RNAcentral.
GUAGCGCAGUGGUCAGCGUGCUCAUCUGCAAAGUAGGAAGUCGUGGGUUCGACGCCCAUC